This 69-nucleotide transfer RNA is filed under the name Anomaloglossus praderioi. RNAcentral describes it as "tRNA-Ala". It matches the Rfam family "tRNA". Rfam says of the family: Transfer RNA (tRNA) molecules are approximately 80 nucleotides in length. Their secondary structure includes four short double-helical elements and three loops (D, anti-codon, and T loops). Lineage: Eukaryota; Metazoa; Chordata; Amphibia; Anura; Aromobatidae. The record is from RNAcentral.
GAGAUUUUGUCUUAAUUAAAGUAUUUGAGUUGCAUUCAAAAGAUGAGAGUUAAUAUCUCUCAAGUCUUA